AUUGAACGCUGGCGGCAGGCCUAACACAUGCAAGUCGAAUGGUAACAGGAAACAGCUUGCUGUUUCGCUGACGAGUGGCGGACGGGUGAGUAAUGUCUGGGAAACUGCCUGAUGGAGGGGGAUAACUACUGGAAACGGUAGCUAAUACCGCAUAACGUCGCAAGACCAAAGAGGGGGACCUUCGGGCCUCUUGCCAUCAGAUGUGCCCAGAUGGGAUUAGCUAGUAGGUGGGGUAACGGCUCACCUAGGCGACGAUCCCUAGCUGGUCUGAGAGGAUGACCAGCCACACUGGAACUGAGACACGGUCCAGACUCCUACGGGAGGCAGCAGUGGGGAAUAUUGCACAAUGGGCGCAAGCCUGAUGCAGCCAUGCCGCGUGUAUGAAGAAGGCCUUCGGGUUGUAAAGUACUUUCAGCGGGGAGGAAGGGAGUAAAGUUAAGACCUUUGCUCAUUGACGUUACCCGCAGAAGAAGCACCGGCUAACUCCGU
This 489-nucleotide ribosomal RNA is filed under the name uncultured bacterium. RNAcentral describes it as "partial 16S ribosomal RNA". It matches the Rfam family "Bacterial small subunit ribosomal RNA", at positions 30 to 506 of the family's 1533-position model. The record is from RNAcentral.